GGGUAUAACUCUCCCCCUUGAUAGACAUUCAAAUAGGGACAGCCCUCCUCACAUUAUUCACGCCUGUAACAGAUCCCCUAUGCUACGACUGAGUAUAUCAGUUAGAAGUCUCCCAAGUCCCAAAGAGAAGUAGUAAUUAUAGCUCUGGUAUACCCAAACAUCAGCCAGGACUUGAUGAAGGGUACAAGAAGAAUGUUUUAUUAUGGCCCAGUGGCUGUUUAUACACACCGACCCC
Pelobates cultripes (western spadefoot toad) is the source of this 235-nucleotide non-coding RNA. NCBI's taxonomy places the organism in Eukaryota, Metazoa, Chordata, Amphibia, Anura, Pelobatidae. The record is from the annotation of a GenBank genome assembly.